GACGAACGCUGGCGGCGUGCUUAACACAUGCAAGUCGAACGGAAAGGCCCUGCUUUUGUGGGGUGCUCGAGUGGCGAACGGGUGAGUAACACGUGAGUAACCUGCCCUUGACUUUGGGAUAACUUCAGGAAACUGGGGCUAAUACCUGAUAGGAGCUCCUGCUGCAUGGUGGGGGUUGGAAAGUUUCGGCGGUUGGGGAUGGACUCGCGGCUUAUCAGCUUGUUGGUGGGGUAGUGGCUUACCAAGGCUUUGACGGGUAGCCGGCCUGAGGGGGUGACCGGCCACAUUGGGACUGAGAUACGGCCCAGACUCCUACGGGAGGCAGCAGUGGGGAAUAUUGCACAAUGGGCGGAAGCCUGAUGCAGCAACGCCGCGUGCGGGAUGACGGCCUUCGGGUUGUAAACCGCUUUCGCCUGUGACGAAGCGUGAGUGACGGUAAUGGGUAAAGAAGCACCGGCUAACUACGUG
RNAcentral lists this ribosomal RNA (468 nucleotides) under uncultured bacterium. RNAcentral describes it as "partial 16S ribosomal RNA". It matches the Rfam family "Bacterial small subunit ribosomal RNA", at positions 28 to 507 of the family's 1533-position model. The record is from RNAcentral.